This is a long non-coding RNA of Alosa sapidissima (American shad), 1112 nucleotides long. RefSeq lists it as uncharacterized. The transcript has 3 exons. The record is from RefSeq and is a predicted model, not a curated record. NCBI's taxonomy places the organism in Eukaryota, Metazoa, Chordata, Actinopteri, Clupeiformes, Clupeidae.
UUGUGGAAUCGAAGGGUGGCCGGUUUGAUCCCUGACUGGUAGGAAAAAUGUGGGUGGGGGGAGUGACUGAACAGCGUUCUCCCACAUCCACGGAUGAGGUUCCCUUGAGCAAUGCAUCUAACCCCCAACUGCACCUCGGGCGCCGGAUUAACUGCAACGGGCAUCCUGACCUCAGCAAGAGACUGACAGCAACCCUGGACCUCAGUCGGCAGAUGAAGUACCACAGCCAAACUGCAGCUACCACCCGCAUCGAAGGAGAGAUGAAGAGGAGAGCCAUCUGCAGCACCACCGAAGCAGCAGAGACAGCCUCAAGAUGCCUAUAGCCAUUUGGACACCAGUGGAGUCAGCUGGACAAGGGUGUUGAUGUUGGAAGACCCAAAAUAAAAACAUCCCAGAGAAAUAUGUAUAAUGAGACACUUACUCCAGCGCACGGACUGCUCCUUGUUUCCAAGCCCAGCUCCUCGUUUCUGGAAUUUCCUGCUACGUCCCAGGUUGUAGAACUUUUAUGUUGGACAUUUUCUAUUGGACCUUUUCUGUUGGAUGAUAUCCUCUUGCCAGAUUGGAGCCUUUAUGUAGGACUGCCUUGUUUGUCAAGUCAAGAUCUUCUGAGCGUUAACUUCACUUCAAGACCUUGUUUAAAUUCUCCUGCCUUGGUUGCUGUUUUCAAAUUAAAACGACUUGAUCCUAACCUUGAGCCUAACCUUGUUUCCUGAGUCUGUGUGCCCUGACAGAAGGCCAGACCAGGCAAUGGAGCCUCAACCAUUAAGAGCUGAACAUGUGGAUCCCUUCCAGGGAAUGGUGGACAAUGCACCGCAAACAAUUCCCAACUCUGCGACCGUAGCAGCUGCCGCCGCCACAGCAGCUCCAGUAGCACCUCCAGCUAUGAUUCCAGGGAACGCAGUGGUGAAUCCAGCGCCAUAUUCUGGAACUCCAGAGGCAUGCAAGGGAUUUCUGUUGCAAUGCUCAUUGGCCUGGGAGAUGCAGCCACACAGAUUCCCUACAGACCGAUCGCGAGUAGCCUAUAUCAUCUCUCUGCUCUCGGGGUGUGCCUUGCAAUGGGCUGAAAGCGUCUGGAGACAAAAUGGCCCCACAGUAGCAUCGGUGGACAACUU